This 75-nucleotide small RNA is filed under the name Xanthomonas fragariae. RNAcentral's name for it is "sX9 sRNA". It matches the Rfam family "Xanthomonas sRNA sX9". The record is from RNAcentral. Lineage: Bacteria; Pseudomonadati; Pseudomonadota; Gammaproteobacteria; Lysobacterales; Lysobacteraceae.
AUGUACCACUUUACACUGCGGUUGCUCCGCGCCAUCCGCACCCAUCUGGCGACUGCUCGCUAGGUUUUGUUAGCC